This 291-nucleotide ribosomal RNA is filed under the name Escherichia coli. RNAcentral's name for it is "partial 16S ribosomal RNA". It matches the Rfam family "Bacterial small subunit ribosomal RNA", at positions 1 to 286 of the family's 1533-position model. Lineage: Bacteria; Pseudomonadati; Pseudomonadota; Gammaproteobacteria; Enterobacterales; Enterobacteriaceae. The record is from RNAcentral.
UUAAAUUGAAGAGUUUGAUCAUGGCUCAGAUUGAACGCUGGCGGCAGGCCUAACACAUGCAAGUCGAACGGUAACAGAAAGCAGCUUGCUGCUUUGCUGACGAGUGGCGGACGGGUGAGUAAUGUCUGGGAAACUGCCUGAUGGAGGGGGAUAACUACUGGAAACGGUAGCUAAUACCGCAUAACGUCGCAAGACCAAAGAGGGGGACCUUCGGGCCUCUUGCCAUCGGAUGUGCCCAGAUGGGAUUAGCUUGUUGGUGGGGUAACGGCUCACCAAGGCGACGAUCCCUAG